RNAcentral lists this small RNA (62 nucleotides) under Vibrio cholerae O1 biovar El Tor str. N16961. Lineage: Bacteria; Pseudomonadati; Pseudomonadota; Gammaproteobacteria; Vibrionales; Vibrionaceae. The record is from RNAcentral.
AUUUGAGAUUCAGAGUGAAAACGCCCCACAUAAAAAACGCCCGGAAAUCCGGGCGUUUUUGU